AGUCUUCAGGGCAGGGUGAAAUUCCCGACCGGCGGUGAUAGUCCGCGAGCGCAAGCUGAAAAGGUGUAAUUCCUUUACCGAUAGUAGAGUCUAGAUGGAAGAAAG
RNAcentral lists this non-coding RNA (105 nucleotides) under Faecalibacillus faecis. RNAcentral's name for it is "FMN riboswitch (RFN element)". It matches the Rfam family "FMN riboswitch aptamer (RFN element)", at positions 8 to 131 of the family's 138-position model. From Rfam's summary of the family: The RFN element is a highly conserved domain that is found frequently in the 5'-untranslated regions of prokaryotic mRNAs that encode for flavin mononucleotide (FMN) biosynthesis and transport proteins. This element is a metabolite-dependent riboswitch that directly binds FMN in the absence of proteins. In Bacillus subtilis, the riboswitch most likely controls gene expression by causing premature transcription termination within the 5' untranslated region of the ribDEAHT operon and precluding access to the ribosome-binding site of ypaA mRNA. The record is from RNAcentral. Lineage: Bacteria; Bacillati; Bacillota; Erysipelotrichia; Erysipelotrichales; Coprobacillaceae.